GAUGAACGCUGGCGGCGUGCCUAAUACAUGCCAGUGGAGCGAACAGACGAGGAGCUUGCUCCUCUGACGUUAGCGGCGGACGGGUGAGUAACACGUGGAUAACCUACCUAUAAGACUGGGAUAACUUCGGGAAACCGGAGCUAAUACCGGAUAAUAUAUUGAACCGCAUGGUUCAAUAGUGAAAGACGGUUUUGCUGUCACUUAUAGAUGGAUCCGCGCCGCAUUAGCUAGUUGGUAAGGUAACGGCUUACCAAGGCGACGAUGCGUAGCCGACCUGAGAGGGUGAUCGGCCACACUGGAACUGAGACACGGUCCAGACUCCUACGGGAGGCAGCAGUAGGGAAUCUUCCGCAAUGGGCGAAAGCUUGACGGAGCAACGCCGCGUGAGUGAUGAAGGUCUUCGGAUCGUAAAACUCUGUUAUUAGGGAAGAACAAAUGUGUAAGUAACUAUGCACGUCUUGACGGUACCUAAUCAGAAAGCCACGGCUAACUACGUG
Molecule: ribosomal RNA, 497 nt
Filed under: uncultured bacterium
Lineage: Bacteria
Description: partial 16S ribosomal RNA
Rfam family: Bacterial small subunit ribosomal RNA
Source: RNAcentral